This 1039-nucleotide long non-coding RNA is filed under the name Lonchura striata (white-rumped munia). RNAcentral describes it as "domestica (Bengalese finch) lncRNA (ENSLSDG00000011209.1)". The record is from RNAcentral. Lineage: Eukaryota; Metazoa; Chordata; Aves; Passeriformes; Estrildidae.
AUCUUGGAAACAUUUUGGGCUCCUCCCCACCACUCCCACACCCGCCUUUUUUGUGUUCUUUUUCAUUAAAAGUCUGAGAGACUUUUCCCUGUUCCCCAGGUGGAGCAGAACAAACCUGUUAACAUCUUUAAGGUGUUGGGCCCAUACUCCAAUUAUCCAGACUAAGAGACUUCACAUUUGAUCUGAAAAUGUUCAACUCUGCAGACAUGGUCUUUUCACUGGAUAAUUUAUUUUAUGAAAAACCAGAUAUGAGACAAAGGUGUCUGGAAAAUGAAGAUCAUAAGACUUGGUUUAUUGCACCUGCUCCAGCUAUUGCUGAAAUUCCAGCUGCAGAGGAAUUACAGAGGGAACUGGAAAAAAACUCAGCCAACACUCCCAUGGGUAGAGUAUCAUAGAAUAGAAUCACAGAAUCAUUGCAGCGGUUGGAAAAGACAUUUAGAAUGAUCAAGUCCACCCCUAAACCUAACAUUGCAAAGUUCAACUAAUGUUGGGCAAUAUCAGGUGUUACUUGACAUUGAUUUUAAAUUACUCAACAAAUAAUUAGUGUGACAGAUCAUUCCUCUUUUGCUGUGAAAAAUGAAAUAUUCUAGGUAUGCAAGUAGAGACAAUGUAUUUGAGUUGAGAAUGAUGGUGUUAGAUGUGCCAGGAGCAUAGCAGUCCUCUUUAGGCAUAUACAUGCCACAAGUUUACUGUGCAGAAAUGUACAAGGUGAGAAGUAUAAUCAAAAUUUCAGUUACUGCACAUUGUUUCAUGAAGCAUUGUAACGCAGUGGGAAGUGCUGUAAGAGCAUAACGUUGUCAUGUGGAUCUUAUGGCCUGUCUGCCACUCAAGGAGCAGAGAGUUUAUAUGAAACACACUUUUUUCUUCCCCCUUUUGGAGCUUUAAUCAAAUUGUUCAGGCGGCCAAAUUUGAAUUUGGUCAUUAAUUGCUGCUAAGUGGCGUAUUCCUAGACAUUCAGGAUUAUCUUAAUGAACUGUAUUUUAAACAAUGUCAUUGCUUUAUCUUUGUCAGCUAGAUUUGUGCAUUUCUUAGAUGUCGU